This 497-nucleotide ribosomal RNA is filed under the name uncultured bacterium. RNAcentral's name for it is "partial 16S ribosomal RNA". It matches the Rfam family "Bacterial small subunit ribosomal RNA", at positions 28 to 507 of the family's 1533-position model. The record is from RNAcentral.
GAUGAACGCUGGCGGCGUGCCUAAUACAUGCAAGUCGAGCGAACAGACGAGGAGCUUGCUCCUCUGACGUUAGCGGCGGACGGGUGAGUAACACGUGGAUAACCUACCUAUAAGACUGGGAUAACUUCGGGAAACCGGAGCUAAUACCGGAUAAUAUAUUGAACCGCAUGGUUCAAUAGUGAAAGACGGUUUUGCUGUCACUUAUAGAUGGAUCCGCGCCGCAUUAGCUAGUUGGUAAGGUAACGGCUUACCAAGGCAACGAUGCGUAGCCGACCUGAGAGGGUGAUAGGCCACACGGGAACUGGGACACGGUCCAGACGCCUACGGGAGGCAGCAGUAGGGAAUCUUCCGCAAUGGGCGGAAGCCUGACGGAGCAACGCCGCGUGAGUGAUGAAGGUCUUCGGAUCGUAAAACUCUGUUAUUAGGGAAGAACAAAUGUGUAAGUAACUAUGCACGUCUUGACGGUACCUAGUCAGAAAGCCACGGCUAACUACGUG